UUAUGAGGGCUGUAAAUUUUAUGAAUAUGGGUAACUAACUGACCUAUUUUCUGUCCUCAAAGGUCACUGUUGUUGGUAUCGGCACCGAGUGGGGAUUGUUGAUGGCUUGUAUUUCAAAAGAAAACGGAAGAAACUCCUGUGCACACGUAGAAAAUGUUUUAAAUGAGCUUACUAUUCGGUGUAUUAGCAUUUACAUAUAUUGUUAAACUUACGACAUGUCUCAAUCAGGUUUGCCUAAACGGAGUGGCUGAUUUUUAAUGGAAUUGUUGGAUUGUAUCUUGCUCUUUGUUGGCGAGAUAUAGUCGACCUCCCACAUGUCUGCUGCAAGAUUCUCGAUAGAGUUUCUUAUCUAAACUCUUUGUAGACCAGGAGGCAGAGUGCUUGUAUGAAGGUUCGAAUGGUAACUAGUGACAACCUCCAACCUACCAAAGCUAUUGUGCUGGAGUGCGGAAUAUUAACCUAUGGUACAUAAGCCACUGAACCUAUUAUCAUUGAAGGAAUAACUUUUCAUUCCUUGUCGGAUUCUGAAAGUGAAAAGAUGUCCGACAAAGAUCUCACAUUCAUAGUGGUGAUGGUCGCAGCAAAGAGAAUGAAAGAAGGAUGGGAUGAUGGAGGCAGCAUAGCUUUUGCAGUUAUUCUUUUGUUAUCGGGACAGGUAUUGUGAUUGUGUGUAGCAGUUAUGAACAGUAUCUUCUUUAUAUUUCACGUUUGCAGCAGAAAGUGACAACAAAAAGUCUGCAAUUUCAAAACAAGAACGAGGAAGAGAGAAACAUAUAUCAGGAGGUUGCUUUAUAUGGAGAGCAGUGAAGAUUACAUUAUAGCUUUGUUUAAUAGAAUGUGUAAAUUUUUUUAAUUAUGCGUUUUCUUCUUUCAAAAGUGUUUGUCCUUAAUUUCAUUGGCACACGAGUUCAUAUCUGUGGGCAUUGUUUUUAUCAGACCACCCAUAUGUCUGCUGCAAGAUUCUCAAUGGAGUUUUUUAUAAAAACAUUAUUUGCACAGGAUCCCUAUGGACCACGAAUGAGAGAUAUUUAGUUUAGUUGAGUCAGAUUGAUGGCGUGAAGGGGAUAAGACAAGGCGAGUUGCAACAUUGUGGUGGAUGAUGCCGGGCUCCUCAAUGUUGGUAAUAUGGUAACUGAUGGAUGCUAUUCCUUUUGUUCAUUUUUUCUUUGUAUGUUAUUGUUUUCUGUAGUAUAUACACAUUUUGCUGUAUAGAAAAUCUUGUGUAGGUUCCAGCGGAUGGGUUAUUAAUAUCAGGCCACUCGCUUGCCCUUGAUGAGUCUAGGAUCAAAAUUUCUGUGUCGGAGAGAUCAAUCAUUUGUUCUUCCAUUUUCCAUUAAAAUUUCCUUGGUUGCUUCCGAAGCAGGAGAAGACAGAUUCUGAGAAAAAUAUCUGAGAAAGAGAGAGAGAGAAAACUUCUCGUUGAAGAGAGUAUGCGUUUCCAAAAAUCCGAUCUCACGCCAAGCUCCUUUGCGAACUGAUGGUCAUCUUGAUGGUAAUUGUUUUUGGCUUCAUGCAAAAACUACAUGGAUGAAAGUGGUAAUGUGAGCUGUGACUGAAGACAAGGUUUGAACCUAAUACUUCAAAGUUUUAUUGCCAUCAGCCUUUCAAUUAGACCGCCACCCUUUGUUUUAUAAGGCUCGCAGCACAGCACUUUUUAGUAACGUGAAUCGAUCUAAUUUUUUGUCCAGUUAGUUGCCUAUUUGCAGGUUUCUUAUUUUAAAAGGCUAUUGAGGGCAUGGCUGCAAGAUAUUAACAAUGCGUAGCAUUAGCAUGAAAAAUCUAUGAGGUUGACUUCUAAAAGUCUGUAAUCCCAGAGGAUGAUCUUUGUUGGCAAGCUAUAGACAGUAUCCACUGAAAUAAAGUAUUUGCUAGCUAUAGUCGGUGGCUCGGUGUAAAGGUUCGAAUGGUUACUAGUGACAACCUCCAACCUGCCAAAGCUAUUGCGCUGGAGUGAAGAAUAUUAACCUAUGCAGUAAGUGAUCAGAGAUAGUCUGCAAUUUCAAAACCUGAACGAGGAAGGGAGAGACAUACAUCUGAAGAGGAGAGUAAUGCACAGGGGAUAAGAGGUGGUUGACGAAUUGAAAUUUCAAUAUAUGAAAUUGUGGUGGGUGAUGUCUUUCUCCCUACAUUGGUAAUCAGAUUAGUGAUAGAUGCUACUCCUUUUGCUAUUUUUUCUUGGUGUGUCAUAGUUUAUCUGCAACAUAUAUACAUUUUGCUAUUUGAAAAAUAUUGUGUAGAUUCCAACGGAUUAAUUAUUAUAUCAGGCCACUCGCUUGCUCUCGAUGAUUCUAGGAAAAAUGUAUGUUUGUGUUGCCAAUGAUAGUGAAGUCGGUGAUCUUCUUUUAAACUGAGUUGUGAUAAUCUGUGUCGGUAUAAAGGUGAAACAGCUAACAAAUACUUCGUUUCUGUAGGCUGUUUUAUAUGGAGAGUAGUAAAGAUUACAUUAUUUCGAAGAAUGUUUCAUGGCCAGCUUUCCUUUUAUGAUGUCGUGAAGUUACAGUGCUGAAUCUAAAGUCCGCAAAAACUCGGAGAAUUAUCCAAUUUCAGCUCACUGUUAAUGUUGUUGUUCUCAUCAUUAACAUUGUAGCGGUAGUUUCAAGUAGUGAUGUCCCACUCAAAGCUGUGCAUUUGCUUUGGGUGAAUCUCAUAGUGGACACUCUUGGAGCCUUGGUCUCUGUCACAGAACCACCCACUAAUCAACUCAUGCACUGUCCUCCAGUGGGCAGGAGUACAAGUCUAUGAAGUAUGAACUGCUGAUGAGAAUAUCGAAGCAAAAUCAGCUAAUCAGAAGUAACUUGAGGUGUGAUUCUUGUAACUUGGUGAGCGGAAGGUGUUCUUAUUGUGCUGAAGUGCCUGUCUCCAUUAUAGGUAUCUGGAUUCCGUGUUUCUGAUUACGGGUUUGUUUAGUGCAAAGCUUCCCACUU
Molecule: RNA transcript, 2924 nt
Organism: Tarenaya hassleriana
Lineage: Eukaryota; Viridiplantae; Streptophyta; Magnoliopsida; Brassicales; Cleomaceae
Gene name: calcium-transporting ATPase 8, plasma membrane-type-like
Exons: 13
Source: RefSeq, a predicted model, not a curated record